Molecule: long non-coding RNA, 341 nt
Organism: Clupea harengus (Atlantic herring)
Lineage: Eukaryota; Metazoa; Chordata; Actinopteri; Clupeiformes; Clupeidae
Source: Ensembl
UGGGUCAAGGGAGUAACAAGGAGCAGCGCUUCAGAUCUCAGAGAGGAUAUGGACCUGUGGAGAGAGACAGAGAGAGAGAAAGAAAGAGAGAGAAGAGAGAGAGAAAGAGAGCGAGAGAGAGAGAAGAGAGAGAGAAAGAGAAAGAGAGUUGGAGUACACAUUGAGAAAGCGGGUUGGUUAUGAGAGAGAGAGAGAGGUGGAGAACACAUUGAGAAAGAGGGUUGGUUAUGAGAGAGAGAGAGAGAGAGAGAGAGAGAGAGAGAGAGAGGUGGAGAACACAUUGAGAAAGAGGGUUGGUUAUGAGAGAGAGAGAAUGCAAACUGUUAAUAAGGAUGGGAGUU